UAGGGAAUCUUCGGCAAUGGGGGCAACCCUGACCGAGCAACGCCGCGUGAGUGAACAAGGUUUUCGGAUCGUAAAGCUCUGUUGUAAGAGAAGAACGUGUGUGAGAGUGGAAAGUUCACACAGUGACGGUAACUUACCAGAAAGGGACGGCUAACUACGUGCCAGCAGCCGCGGUAAUACGUAGGUCCCGAGCGUUGUCCGGAUUUAUUGGGCGUAAAGCGAGCGCAGGCGGUUUAAUAAGUCUGAAGUUAAAGGCAGUGGCUUAACCAUUGUUCGCUUUGGAAACUGUUAAACUUGAGUGCAGAAGGGGAGAGUGGAAUUCCAUGUGUAGCGGUGAAAUGCGUAGAUAUAUGGAGGAACACCGGUGGCGAAAGCGGCUCUCUGGUCUGUAACUGACGCUGAGGCUCGAAAGCGUGGGGAGCAAACAGG
This 429-nucleotide ribosomal RNA is filed under the name bacterium. RNAcentral's name for it is "partial 16S ribosomal RNA". It matches the Rfam family "Bacterial small subunit ribosomal RNA", at positions 355 to 776 of the family's 1533-position model. The record is from RNAcentral.